UUAGAGUUUGAUCCUGGCUCAGGACGAACGCUGGCGGCAUGCUUAACACAUGCAAGUCGAACGAAUUUGGUUCUUCGGAACCAGGUUAGUGGCGAACGGGUGAGUAAUAUAUGAGCAACCUGCCUCUGUCAACGGGAUAGCAAGUGGAAACGCUUGCUAAUACCGUAUAUGACCACGGUAUCGCAUGAUACUGCGGUGAAAGCUCCGGCGGACAGAGAUGGGCUCAUAUCCCAUUAGGUAGUUGGUGAGAUAACAGCCCACCAAGCCUACGAUGGGUAGCCGAGCUGAGAGGCUGAUCGGCCACAUUGGGACUGAAACACGGCCCAGACUCCUACGGGAGGCAGCAGUAGGGAAUAUUGGGCAAUGGAAGCAAUUCUGACCCAGCCAUGCCGCGUGAAGGAAUACGGCCCUAUGGGUCUUAAACUUCUUUUAUCAUAGAGUAAUCGUGGGGACGUGUCCCUGCCUGCAAGUAUAUGAUGAAUAAGUAUCGGCUAACUCCGUGCCAGCAGCCGCGGUAAUACGGAGGAUACAAGCGUUAUCCGGAUUUAUUGGGUUUAAAGGGUGCGCAGGCGGACUAAUAAGUCAGAGGUGAAAUUUUGCAGCUUAACUGUAAACGUGCCUUUGAUACUGUUAGACUAGAGUUUAAGGGACGUAACCGGAAUGUGAUGUGUAGCGGUGAAAUGCAUAGAUAUGUCACAGAACGCCGAUCGUGAAGACAGGUUACGAACUUAAUACUGACGCUCAGGCACGAAAGCGUGGGGAUCAAACAGGAUUAGAUACCCUGGUAGUCCACGCUGUAAACGAUGAUCACUCGUUGUUGGUUAGUAAUAAUCAGUGGCCAAGCGAAAGCGAUAAGUGACCCACCUGGGGAGUACGAUCGCAAGGUUGAAACUCAAAGGAAUUGACGGGGGCCCGCACAAGCGGAGGAGCAUGUGGUUUAAUUCGAUGAUACGCGAGGAACCUUACCCGGGCUUGAAGGUGAGACGAAUAUAUGGGAAACCAUAUAGCCUACGGGCGUCUUGCUAGGUGCUGCAUGGUUGUCGUCAGCUCGUGCCGUGAGGUGUUAGGUUAAGUCCUGCAACGAGCGCAACCCCUACUAAUAGUUACCAGCACGUUAAGGUGGGAACUCUAUUAGAACUGCCUACGCAAGUAGAGAGGAAGGUGGGGAUGACGUCAAAUCAGCACGGCCCUUAUGUCCGGGGCUACACACGUGCUACAAUGGCAUAUACAGAGGGCAGCUACUCGGUGACGAGAUGCUAAUCUUAAAAGUAUGUCUCAGUUCGGAUUGGAGUCUGAAACUCGACUCUAUGAAGUUGGAUUCGCUAGUAAUCGCGCAUCAGCCAUGGCGCGGUGAAUACGUUCCCGGGCCUUGCACACACCGCCCGUCA
Molecule: ribosomal RNA, 1388 nt
Filed under: uncultured bacterium
Lineage: Bacteria
Description: 16S ribosomal RNA
Rfam family: Bacterial small subunit ribosomal RNA
Source: RNAcentral